RNAcentral lists this ribosomal RNA (465 nucleotides) under uncultured bacterium. RNAcentral's name for it is "bacterial SSU rRNA". It matches the Rfam family "Bacterial small subunit ribosomal RNA", at positions 338 to 795 of the family's 1533-position model. The record is from RNAcentral.
CCUACGGGUUGCAGCAGUGGGGAAUAUUGCACAAUGGGCGCAAGCCUGAUGCAGCCAUGCCGCGUGUGUGAAGAAGGCCUUCGGGUUGUAAAGCACUUUCAGCGAGGAGGAAGGUGGUGAACUUAAUACGUUCAUCAAUUGACGUUACUCGCAGAAGAAGCACCGGCUAACUCCGUGCCAGCAGCCGCGGUAAUACGGAGGGUGCAAGCGUUAAUCGGAAUUACUGGGCGUAAAGCGCACGCAGGCGGUUUGUUAAGUCAGAUGUGAAAUCCCCGGGCUCAACCUGGGAACUGCAUUUGAAACUGGCAAGCUAGAGUCUCGUAGAGGGGGGUAGAAUUCCAGGUGUAGCGGUGAAAUGCGUAGAGAUCUGGAGGAAUACCGGUGGCGAAGGCGGCCCCCUGGACGAAGACUGACGCUCAGGUGCGAAAGCGUGGGGAGCAAACAGGAUUAGAUACCCGUGUAGUC